GUGAGUGAUUAUGGUUUAAGUA
RNAcentral lists this microRNA (22 nucleotides) under Drosophila melanogaster (fruit fly). RNAcentral describes it as "dme-miR-3644-5p". The record is from miRBase by way of RNAcentral. Lineage: Eukaryota; Metazoa; Arthropoda; Insecta; Diptera; Drosophilidae.